GAUGAAGGACGCAGCGAAAUGCGAUAAGUAAUGUGAAUUGCAGAAUUCAGUGAAUCAUCGAAUCUUUGAACGCACAUUGCGCCCGCCAGUAUUCUGGCGGGCAUGCCUGUCUGAGCGUCAUUUCAACCCUCAUGCCCCUAGGGCGUGGUGUUGGGGAUCGGCCAAAGCCCGCGAGGGACGGCCGGCCCCUAAAUCUAGUGGCGGACCCGUCGUGGCCUCCUCUGCGAAGUAGUGAUAUUCCGCAUCGGAGAGCGACGAGCCCCUGCCGUUAAACCCCCAACUUUCCAAGGUUGACCUCAGAUCAGGUAGGAAUACCCGCUGAACUUAAGCAUAUCAAUAAGCGGAGGA
This 348-nucleotide unclassified non-coding RNA is filed under the name soil metagenome. RNAcentral describes it as "partial contains 5.8S ribosomal RNA, internal transcribed spacer 2, and large subunit ribosomal RNA". The stretch from base 1 to 120 matches the Rfam family "5.8S ribosomal RNA", at positions 35 to 154 of the family's 154-position model. The record is from RNAcentral.